CUUCCUCUGUCUCUCUCGCCCUGGGUUCCGUGCCCCUGGAUCACCAGCUGCCAUGUCCUGAGGACACUUGGGCAGCCUGUGGGGAGAUCUACAUGACAAAGAAACAAGACCUGCCAGCAACCACGUUCUGCAUCAUUUGGACCAUGGGCACUUGGUGGGUGAUGAACCCCUUCACCUCAGAGCACGGCCAGCAGGCAGCGCGAGCUUGAUGUCAGCAAUCAGCCGAUGUUAAGGGAAAGACUGAAUUCUGCACAGAGAGAAGAUUUAGAGCUGGGAUGGCACAUGAAGAUUUGAUGAAGACUAGAGUUGACUAUGCCACAUGGGAAAUUAUUCGUGUGUAAAAUGGAAUCCACUCCGAUGACACCUUGAUGCUGAGGGAUCCUAGGGCAACGUUGAAGUGGGCCCCAAACAUUGGGUUGAGCACCAAGAGCAAAAAUUACACAUACAGCCAUUUGAAUAUGGAGAUCGUAUAUUAACAUGCAGCCGGAGUACACUACCUUUCAAACUCAACAAGCC
This 516-nucleotide long non-coding RNA is filed under the name Equus caballus (horse). RNAcentral describes it as "lncRNA (ENSECAG00000050753.1)". The record is from RNAcentral. Lineage: Eukaryota; Metazoa; Chordata; Mammalia; Perissodactyla; Equidae.